This 92-nucleotide transfer RNA is filed under the name Desulfobacterales bacterium. RNAcentral's name for it is "tRNA-Sec". It matches the Rfam family "Selenocysteine transfer RNA". Lineage: Bacteria; Pseudomonadati; Thermodesulfobacteriota; Desulfobacteria; Desulfobacterales. The record is from RNAcentral.
GGAAGUGCCUAGCUCGCUGGUGGGGCUCCCGGACUUCAAAUCCGGUGUGGGGCGGAAGCGUCCCGGGUGGGUUCGAUUCCCAUGCACUUCCG